Molecule: ribosomal RNA, 253 nt
Filed under: uncultured bacterium
Lineage: Bacteria
Description: partial 16S ribosomal RNA
Rfam family: Bacterial small subunit ribosomal RNA
Source: RNAcentral
CACGUAAGUUGCGAGCGUUGUUCGGAAUUAUUGGGCGUAAAGGGCAUGUAGGCGGUUAUGCAAGCUUGGUGUGAAAGGCAGGAGCUCAACUCCUGGACUGCAUUGAGAACUGCAAAACUAGAGUCACUGAGGGGCAAUCAGAAUUCCAGGUGUAGGGGUGAAAUCUGUAGAUAUCUGGAAGAAUACCAAUGGCGAAAGCAGGUUGCCAGCAGAUGACUGACGCUGAGGUGCGAAGGUGCGGGGAGCAAACAGG